CUCCCUCCAGGUUACCUCCAGCUCACAGUGUGGCUGGGGCUUUUGGGCCUCCAGUUUUCUUCCUGUCGAGCGGGUUCAGGAAGAGCAGGCUCUGCGUCACUGGGGCCCCAGCUGGUGAUGGGGGCCUGGACACGUGUCUAGUGCACUGCUGCCCUCCAGGGAUGAAGCUAGUCUCAGGACAUUGCCCGGGCUCCUGUCACGGCGGCUCUGUGGUUGGUCCACGCCUGCUCUGGCCGGCCACAGCUCUGGGCCUUUUUCACUGGCCUUCUUUGAGCUCUCCCUGGACUUUGGAGCAUCAUGAGAUUUUUCCAUGCUUCUGGCUCUGUCGCUCACAAGCUCAACAGUGACUUGGGGUCAGGGUGGUAAAGCAAAUAGGUGCCUUCCUGGGAAUGGGCAGUGGCGGGGGGUCAGGGAGAGGGAGGCUAGAGAAUAGAUAGGACCUCCUGGUAGUGGCAAGAACAGCCCCAGCUCCCGCCUUCCUGGAACCCUUCUGCUGAGGAGCCCCCGGGCUGAGGAGGAGGCCUCAUGGGGGCCAUUUCACAGACCAAGAGGCUGAGUCACUUGCCUAAGGUUGGGCCUCUGGUGAGUGACAGGCUGCAGCUGGACAGGAAAAGAACUCCUGCGGGGAGCCGCUAAUCCCAGAGUAAACAGAUGACCUCGUGGUGCCUUUCUCCCGGAGGUGGGGUUCCUAGCGCAGCGCCCCAACUGUGCAAACAGACCCCGGAGGGCUCGGUGCGCCUGCAGGGGCGUGGCCAGGGACCUGGGCCUGGGGCCAGGAGGGGCCUUUCCCUCUUGCCAGCCCUCUUUCUUCCUUUGUGAUUUCAAUUGAAUGGGGAGAAGCUCAAAGGCAGGGGCAGGAAAGGUCAAAGCCAAUUUGCAGGGCCAAGUGUGGGGGAGGAGAGAAGGGCUCAGACCAAGGUUUUUUUUUUUUUUUUUUGGAGGCCUGACCUUCACCUGGAAGCAACUCCUCCCCCUCCUGGGUCUUCUGCGGACACUGCCCUGGCAGAGCUGGCUUUGCAUCCUGGCCGCCUCCCUUACUAGCUGUGUGACAGAGGCCAGCAAGUGCACCUUUCUGAGCCUCAGUUUCCUCACUUGGAAAGCAGACGUUCCUGGCAGCCCUGAGGGCUGUGCACACGGGCCAGGCUGAUGGAGUUAACUGCAAACACGCUCAGGAAGUGUAAACAGCCCUCCUCCGGGCCAGGACGACUGGCAGACUCACGGGCAGCUUGCACAAUCCUGUGUGCUGCUAUGACACUCAUUUUUGGGGCAUGGAGUCAUCUCUGCCAUGGGCCUCUCCCUCCUUGCCCUGGAUCGUCUUUGUAACACAGAUGGUACUGCGUGUCAGUAGUCAGUGGGAAGAAAUUCAGACCCCAGCCCCACCCCGAAGCUCAUUCUGAUUUAGAGCUGCCCAAGGACCCGAGGAGGCUGGAGCUGAAAGGGAGCCUGGGAAUUACCUAGCCCAACCUCUUCAUUUUCUAGAUGAAGGACCUGCGACCUAAAGAGGUGGGGACACUAAGGCCAUGUAAGUAUGUCAAAGCUUGGCACAAAGCUGGGUGUCCUGGGAUGGCAGCUGGUUUCAAAACCAGCCAAACAAGGCCUGUAAAUCUUGGCACAAUGGACUGUCCAGCCAUGUGAACUUGGAUCAGGGACUUCUUCCUGAGUCUCAGUCCCCUCAUCUGCAGGGCAUGGCAUGCAAGGGUGUUGUGCAGAACUCAGGGAGUGCUGAUAGUUAAAUGCCUAGCACAGUGCCAGGCUCAUACUAGGGGCUUCCUUCUCCUGCCUCCCUCUGCCCUUUCUUUGCAAACUU
This 1807-nucleotide long non-coding RNA is filed under the name Callithrix jacchus (white-tufted-ear marmoset). RNAcentral describes it as "lncRNA (ENSCJAG00000069206.2)". The record is from RNAcentral. Lineage: Eukaryota; Metazoa; Chordata; Mammalia; Primates; Cebidae.